GACGAACGCUGGCGGCGUGCUUAACACAUGCCAGUCGAACGGAAAGGCCCUGCUUUUGUGGGGUGCUCGAGUGGCGAACGGGUGAGUAACACGUGAGUAACCUGCCCUUGACUUUGGGAUAACUUCAGGAAACUGGGGCUAAUACCGGAUAGGAGCUCCUGCUGCAUGGUGGGGGUUGGAAAGUUUCGGCGGUUGGGGAUGGACUCGCGGCUUAUCAGCUUGUUGGUGGGGUAGUGGCUUACCAAGGCUUUGACGGGUAGCCGGCCUGAGAGGGUGACCGGCCACAUUGGGACUGAGAUACGGCCCAGACUCCUACGGGAGGCAGCAGUGGGAAUAUUGCACAAUGGGCGGAAGCCUGAUGCAGCAACGCCGCGUGCGGGAUGACGGCCUUCGGGUUGUAAACCGCUUUCGCCUGUGACGAAGCGUGAGUGACGGUAAUGGGUAAAGAAGCACCGGCUAACUACGUG
RNAcentral lists this ribosomal RNA (467 nucleotides) under uncultured bacterium. RNAcentral's name for it is "partial 16S ribosomal RNA". It matches the Rfam family "Bacterial small subunit ribosomal RNA", at positions 28 to 507 of the family's 1533-position model. The record is from RNAcentral.